Molecule: ribosomal RNA, 598 nt
Filed under: Hydrovatus davidis
Lineage: Eukaryota; Metazoa; Arthropoda; Insecta; Coleoptera; Dytiscidae
Description: SSU rRNA
Rfam family: Eukaryotic small subunit ribosomal RNA
Source: RNAcentral
UUGUCUCAAAGAUUAAGCCAUGCAUGUCUCAGUACAAGCCGCACUAAGGUGAAACCGCGAAAGGCUCAUUAAAUCAGUUAUGGUUCCUUAGAUCGUACCCACAUUUACUUGGAUAACUGUGGUAAUUCUAGAGCUAAUACAUGCAAACAGAGCUCCGACCGGAGACGGGAGGAGUGCUUUUAUUAGAUCAAAACCAAUCGGCUGGCGGUGCGUUCGCGCGCCCGUCAGUCGCUCAACCUGGUGACUCUGAAUAACUUUACGCUGAUCGCACGGUCUCGCACCGGCGACGCAUCUUUCAAAUGUCUGCCUUAUCAACUGUCGAUGGUAGGUUCUGCGCCUACCAUGGUCGUAACGGGUAACGGGGAAUCAGGGUUCGAUUCCGGAGAGGGAGCCUGAGAAACGGCUACCACAUCCAAGGAAGGCAGCAGGCGCGCAAAUUACCCACUCCCGGCACGGGGAGGUAGUGACGAAAAAUAACGAUACGGGACUCAUCCGAGGCCCCGUAAUCGGAAUGAGUACACUUUAAAUCCUUUAACGAGGAUCAAUUGGAGGGCAAGUCUGGUGCCAGCAGCCGCGUAAUUCCAGCUCCAAUAGCGUA